RNAcentral lists this ribosomal RNA (294 nucleotides) under uncultured bacterium. RNAcentral's name for it is "partial 16S ribosomal RNA". It matches the Rfam family "Bacterial small subunit ribosomal RNA", at positions 775 to 1067 of the family's 1533-position model. The record is from RNAcentral.
GGAUUAGAUACCCUGGUAGUCCACGCCGUAAACGAUGAGUGCUAAGUGUUGGAGGGUUUCCGCCCUUCAGUGCUGGAGUUAACGCAUUAAGCACUCCGCCUGGGGAGUACGGCCGCAAGGCUGAAACUCAAAGGAAUUGACGGGGACCCGCACAAGCGGUGGAGCAUGUGGUUUAAUUCGACGCAACGCGAAGAACCUUACCAGCUCUUGACAUCUUCUGUUCACUCUAGAGAUAGAGCUUCCCCUUCGGGGGCAGAAUGACAGGUGGUGCAUGGUUGUCGUCAGCUCGUGCCG